UACGUAGGGGCUAGCGUUAUCCGGAAUUACUGGGCGUAAAGGGUGCGUAGGUGGUUUCUUAAGUCAGAGGUGAAAGGCUACGGCUCAACCGUAGUAAGCCUUUGAAACUGGGAAACUUGAGUGCAGGAGAGGAGAGUGGAAUUCCUAGUGUAGCGGUGAAAUGCGUAGAGAUCGGGAGGAACACCAGUGGCGAAGGCGACUUACUGGGCCGUAACUGACGCUGAGGCGCGAAAGCGUGGGGAGCGAACAGGAUUAGAUACCCGUGUAGUCCCUGAGCGGGGCU
This 283-nucleotide ribosomal RNA is filed under the name uncultured prokaryote. Its description in RNAcentral is "partial 16S ribosomal RNA". It matches the Rfam family "Bacterial small subunit ribosomal RNA", at positions 524 to 808 of the family's 1533-position model. The record is from RNAcentral.